RNAcentral lists this ribosomal RNA (253 nucleotides) under uncultured bacterium. RNAcentral's name for it is "partial 16S ribosomal RNA". It matches the Rfam family "Bacterial small subunit ribosomal RNA", at positions 524 to 776 of the family's 1533-position model. The record is from RNAcentral.
UACGUAGGGUGCAAGCGUUAAUCGGAAUUACUGGGAGUAAAGCGUGCGCAGGCGGUUGUGCAAGACAGAUGUGAAAUCCCCGGGCUCAACCUGGGAAUUGCAUUUGUGACUGCACGGCUAGAGUGUGUCAGAGGGGGGUAGAAUUCCACGUGUAGCAGUGAAAUGCGUAGAGAUGUGGAGGAAUACCGAUGGCGAAGGCAGCCCCCUGGGAUAACACUGACGCUCAUGCACGAAAGCGUGGGGAGCAAACAGG